AGAGUUGAUCCUGGCUUAGGAUGAACGCUGGCGGCGUGCCUAAUACAUGCAAAGUGAAACGGGUAUCUUCGGAUACCAGGUCGCGGACGGGUGAGUAAUACAUAGGCAACCUGCCUUUAUGAGGGGGAUAACCGAGGGAAACUUUGGCUAAUACCGCAUGAAGACUCUAAGGCAUCUUAGAGGGAUAAAAGUUGGGAAACAACGCAUGAAGAUGGGCUUAUGGCGCAUUAGCUAGUUGGUGAGAUAGAAGCCCACCAAGGUAAUGAUGCGUAGCCGACCUGAGAGGGUGAACGGCCACAUUGGGACUGAGACACGGCCCAAACUCCUACGGGAGGCAGCAGUAGGGAAUUUUCGGCAAUGGGGGAAACCCUGACCGAAGCAACGCCGCGUGAACGACGAAGUACUUCGGUAUGUAAAGUUCUUUUAAGAGGGAAGAAUGGCCCGUGGAAAGCGGGCGUGACGGUACCUUUUGAAUAAGCCCCGGCUAACUAUGUGCCAGCAGCUGC
RNAcentral lists this ribosomal RNA (506 nucleotides) under uncultured bacterium. Its description in RNAcentral is "bacterial SSU rRNA". It matches the Rfam family "Bacterial small subunit ribosomal RNA", at positions 8 to 518 of the family's 1533-position model. The record is from RNAcentral.